GACGAACGCUGGCGGCGUGCUAAUACAUGCAAGUAGAACGCUGAAGGAGGAGCUUGCUUCUCUGGAUGAGUUGCGAACGGGUGAGUAACGCGUAGGUAACCUGCCUGGUAGCGGGGGAUAACUAUUGGAAACGAUAGCUAAUACCGCAUAAGAGUAGAUGUUGCAUGACAUUUGCUUAAAAGGUGCAAUUGCAUCACUACCAGAUGGACCUGCGUUGUAUUAGCUAGUUGGUGGGGUAACGGCUCACCAAGGCGACGAUACAUAGCCGACCUGAGAGGGUGAUCGGCCACACUGGGACUGAGACACGGCCCAGACUCCUACGGGAGGCAGCAGUAGGGAAUCUUCGGCAAUGGACGGAAGUCUGACCGAGCAACGCCGCGUGAGUGAAGAAGGUUUUCGGAUCGUAAAGCUCUGUUGUAAGAGAAGAACGAGUGUGAGAGUGGAAAGUUCACACUGUGACGGUAUCUUACCAGAAGGGGACGGCUAACUACGUGCCAGCAGCCGCGGUAAUACGUAGGUGGCAAGCGUUAUCCGGAUUUAUUGGGCGUAAAGAGAGUGCAGGCGGUUUUCUAAGUCUGAUGUGAAAGCCUUCGGCUUAACCGGAGAAGUGCAUCGGAAACUGGAUAACUUGAGUGCAGAAGAGGGUAGUGGAACUCCAUGUGUAGCGGUGGAAUGCGUAGAUAUAUGGAAGAACACCAGUGGCGAAGGCGGCUACCUGGUCUGCAACUGACGCUGAGACUCGAAAGCAUGGGUAGCGAACAGG
This 763-nucleotide ribosomal RNA is filed under the name uncultured Streptococcus sp. RNAcentral's name for it is "bacterial SSU rRNA". It matches the Rfam family "Bacterial small subunit ribosomal RNA", at positions 28 to 776 of the family's 1533-position model. Lineage: Bacteria; Bacillati; Bacillota; Bacilli; Lactobacillales; Streptococcaceae. The record is from RNAcentral.